ACAAGCGCGUGCGGUGGGCGGGACCGUUAAACGAAGAGGAAGACGAGAACUAUCCGGCUCGCAGCCCCCGUCAUCUUUGUCCGACCAGACCCGCUAAACACUUUUAGGAACUGUGACAACAUCAUCAUCAAUAUUUCCUCACCCAGGUGGGAACCAAACACGCACUCGGUCUUACCUGCGGAACCACCGGCGAUGAUCUGGUGGGAAGCUUCCCGGACGAUGCCGCGCGGCUUGGGGACGCUCAUGACUGCGGAUCUGGCCGAAAAGGCAGAAAGUCAAGCGGUUGCGUCUUGCGUGGAUCUUCUCUUUUGCUGCCGGUCCACACUCCCACUCCCACACCCGCGUGCACGCGCAGGGGCGAUGCGUGCACGCGGGGACUCGACCUGAUGUCUUGUUUUUGAGAACAUUCCAGAAGGACGUGGACUUAGACGUGGCAAUUUAAAGGACAACAGAUCAAAACGAAAUGACGCAAAAGAGGGAAGUACAGGCCAAAAGUUCGGACACACCUUCUUAUUCAAUGCGUUUUCUUUAUUUUCACGACUAUUUACCACAUCAAAACUAUGAAUGAACACGUGUGGAGUUAUGUACUUCACAAAAAAAGGUGAAAUAACUGAAAACAUGUUUUAUAUUCCAGUUCAGGGGUCGGCAACCUUUACCACUCAAAGCGCCGUUUUGACCCGUUUCACAAAAUAAAGAAAAACUAUGGGAGCCACGAGACUCUUUGAUGUUGACUGCCAGCUAAUCGAUGCUAACAUGCUAUGCUAAUCGAUGCUAACAUGCUAUUUACCGGCGAUGCUAAGGCAGACAUGGCAAAGAGAUGUAUGGAUAACCUGCAGAUGCAUUUGCAACUAUAAAGUCAACGAAAUCACAAAGGUGUGUUUUGUUGAUGUUGACUGCCAGCUAAUCGAUGCUAACAUGCUACGCUAAUCGAUGCUAACAUGCUAUUUACCGGCGAUGCUAAGGCAGACAUGGCACAGAGAUGUAUGGAUAACCUGCAAAUGCAUUUGCAACGAUAGUCAACAAAAUCCCAAAGGUGAGUUUUGUUGAUGUUGACUGCCAGCUAAUCGAUGCUAACAUGCUAUUUACCGGCGAUGCUAAGGCAGACAUGGCAAAGAGAUGUAUGGAUAACCUGCAGAUGCAUUUGCAACAAUAGUCAACGAAAUCACAAAGGUGUGUUUUGUUGAUGUUGACUGCCAGCUAAUCGAUGCUAACAUGCAACGCUAAUCGAUGCUAACAUGCUAUUUACCGGCGAUGCUAAGGCAGACAUGGCACAGAGAUGUAUGGAUAACCUGCAGAUGCAUUUGCAACGAUCGUCAACAAAAUCACAAAGGUGAGUUUUGUUGAUGUUGACUGCCAGCUAAUCGAUGCUAACAUGCUAGUUACCGGCGAUGCUAAGGCAGACAUGGCACAGAGAUGUAUGGAUUACUUGCAGAUGCAUUUGCAACGAUAGUCAACGAAAUUACAAAAGUGUGUUUUGUUGAUGUUGACUGCCAGCUAAUCAAUGCUAACAUGCUACGCUAAUCGAUGCUAACAUGCUAUUUACCGGCGGUGCUAAAGCAUACAUGGUACAGAGAUGUGUGGAUAACCUGCAGAUGCAUUUGCAACGAUAGUCAACGAAAUCACAAAGGUGAGUUUUGUUGAUGUUGACUGCCAGCUAAUUGAUGCUAACAUGCUACGCUAAUUGACGCUAACAUGCUAUUUACCGGCGGUGCUAAGGCAGACAUGGCACAGAGAUGUAUGGAUAACCUGCAGAUGCAUUUGCAACUAUAAAGUCAACGAAAUCACAAAGGUGUGUUUUGUUGAUGUUGACUGCCAGCUAAUCGAUGCUAACAUGCUAUUUACCGGCGGUGCUAAAGCAGACAUGGCACAGAGAUGUAUGGAUAACCUGCAGAUGCAUUUGCAAUUAUAUUACGUUUCCUUCCACCCACAUUUAAUGCGAAACAAACACUUACCAAUCGACGGAUUUAAGUUGCUCCAGUGUCAAAAGAUGCGAGAGUCGUGAUCGUUUGGUCCGCACAUUUUACCGGCGAUGCUAACGCAGCUAUUCGGCCAUGCUAUGGCUAUGAAUAGCGUCAAUAGCUUCAGUUUCUUCUUCAAUACUUUCAUACUCCAACCAUCUGUUUCAAUACAUGCGUAAUCCGUUGAAUCGCUUAAGUCGCUGAAAUCCGAGUUUGAAUCCGAGCUAAUGUCGCUAUAUCUUGCGGUGGUAUUCCCAUUGUUUGUUUACAUUGGCAGCACUGUGUGACGUCACAGGGAAAUGGCCAGUGUCUUCGCAGAGAGUCGAAAAUAAGGCACUUUAAAGCUUUAUUUAGGGAUAUUCCGAGACCGGUAAAAUUUUGAAAAAAAAAAAAAAAAAAUACAACAAGCCACUGGGAACUGAUUUUUAUUGUUUUUAACCCUUUUGAAAUUGUGAUAAUGUUCCCCUUUAAGGAAAUGUGACCAAGUAAAUGUAGCGUGAGCCUGAUGAGAACACACACUAAAAUGUAGUUUCGUAGACAUGGGGACAUCAGUUAUGAUGCCACAGUUUACUGUGGGAAGGCAAUGACCCUUACUACUUUUUUAAAUAUGAACAGUCGUAAAUGAUUAAACCAAGAAUGCGUGCACACACACACACACACACACACACACACACACACACACACACACACACACACACACACAUUUUACAAGAGUGUUCUGCUGGUGUUUUUAUUGUAAUGUGAGACAAACAUAAACAACGUUGUAAAAAAAACACUAUCUACUGUAGUAUUCUGACACAUGUCCUUAAAUUACUACCUUUAUUCACAUAAGUUUGCCUAUUCGGCAAAAAAAAAAAGGCAAUAAAUUAAAAGAAGACAGUGGUUUGAUCCAAGAGGAAUUCAAGUCAACGUUAGAACAAAAAACUGAAAAAAGGUUUGAAAAAUGCAUCACUGAAAUGUCCAAAAAUCAUCUGAAAAUGCAUCACUGAAAUGUUGAAAACAACUUUAAAUACUAUCUGUAAAAGGAACCUUCUCAGCAAAUGUGUGACAACAGUGGUUUUUAUCCUAUUUUAGCACAAAACCACAUUGGGAUCACUCAUAACAAAAACUUACAGAUUGGUGUGCGUUACCUUCCAUUUCCACUAGGAGGCACUCAAGAAUAUUUCAAAGUAACAGCUGGUCUUAACAGUAAGGUU
This is a long non-coding RNA of Nerophis ophidion (straightnose pipefish), 3154 nucleotides long. RefSeq lists it as uncharacterized. Lineage: Eukaryota; Metazoa; Chordata; Actinopteri; Syngnathiformes; Syngnathidae. The transcript has 5 exons. The record is from RefSeq and is a predicted model, not a curated record.